AGAGUUUGAUCAUGGCUCAGGACGAACGCUGGCGGCGUGCUUAACACAUGCAAGUCGAACGAUGAAGCCCAGCUUGCUGGGUGGAUUAGUGGCGAACGGGUGAGUAACACGUGGGUGAUCUGCCCUGCACUUCGGGAUAAGCCUGGGAAACUGGGUCUAAUACCGGAUAGGACCUCGGGAUGCAUGUUCCGGGGUGGAAAGGUUUUCCGGUGCAGGAUGGGCCCGCGGCCUAUCAGCUUGUUGGUGGGGUAACGGCCCACCAAGGCGACGACGGGUAGCCGGCCUGAGAGGGCGACCGGCCACACUGGGACUGAGACACGGCCCAGACUCCUACGGGAGGCAGCAGUGGGGAAUAUUGCACAAUGGGCGCAAGCCUGAUGCAGCGACGCCGCGUGAGGGAUGACGGCCUUCGGGUUGUAAACCUCUUUCAGUACCGACGAAGCGCGAGUGACGGUAGGUACAGAAGAAGCACCGGCCAACUACGUGCCAGCAGCCGCGGUAAUACGUAGGGUGCGAGCGUUGUCCGGAAUUACUGGGCGUAAAGAGCUCGUAGGCGGUUUGUCGCGUCGUCUGUGAAAACCCGCAGCUCAACUGCGGGCUUGCAGGCGAUACGGGCAGACCUGAGUACUGCAGGGGAGACUGGAAUUCCUGGUGUAGCGGUGAAAUGCGCAGAUAUCAGGAGGAACACCGGUGGCGAAGGCGGGUCUCUGGGCAGUAACUGACGCUGAGGAGCGAAAGCGUGGGUAGCGAACAGGAUUAGAUACCCUGGUAGUCCACGCCGUAAACGGUGGGCGCUAGGU
This 800-nucleotide ribosomal RNA is filed under the name uncultured bacterium. Its description in RNAcentral is "bacterial SSU rRNA". It matches the Rfam family "Bacterial small subunit ribosomal RNA", at positions 8 to 821 of the family's 1533-position model. The record is from RNAcentral.